CUCAACAAGCUGCAAUAGCACUACUCCAGAAUCAGAAUCGUGCACUGUAACACCCUUUUUUUUUUAUUUUAUAAUAUUUGCAUUCUUGAUUGAGUAUUUUUAUAACGAGGAAAUAUUUACUUUACACUUCUUAAGUGUGAAAAUUUCAAUAUAUGAAUUUUUUUACUUUAUAUUGUAUUUAAUAUUGACAAAUAAGUUCCAUGGU
Molecule: long non-coding RNA, 205 nt
Filed under: Nicotiana benthamiana
Lineage: Eukaryota; Viridiplantae; Streptophyta; Magnoliopsida; Solanales; Solanaceae
Description: long non-coding RNA (NBEN_LNC000665)
Source: RNAcentral